This 26-nucleotide small RNA is filed under the name Bombyx mori (domestic silkworm). RNAcentral describes it as "ovarian small RNA-37395". Lineage: Eukaryota; Metazoa; Arthropoda; Insecta; Lepidoptera; Bombycidae. The record is from RNAcentral.
UUCGAUUCGUUCGACAUUCGGCGAUA